This 215-nucleotide ribosomal RNA is filed under the name Staphylococcus epidermidis. RNAcentral's name for it is "partial 16S ribosomal RNA". It matches the Rfam family "Bacterial small subunit ribosomal RNA", at positions 1326 to 1533 of the family's 1533-position model. The record is from RNAcentral. Lineage: Bacteria; Bacillati; Bacillota; Bacilli; Caryophanales; Staphylococcaceae.
CUGGAAUCGCUAGUAAUCGUAGAUCAGCAUGCUACGGUGAAUACGUUCCCGGGUCUUGUACACACCGCCCGUCACACCACGAGAGUUUGUAACACCCGAAGCCGGUGGAGUAACCAUUUGGAGCUAGCCGUCGAAGGUGGGACAAAUGAUUGGGGUGAAGUCGUAACAAGGUAGCCGUAUCGGAAGGUGCGGCUGGAUCACCUCCUUUCUAAGGA